This 2899-nucleotide ribosomal RNA is filed under the name Streptococcus pneumoniae GA11663. RNAcentral's name for it is "bacterial LSU rRNA". It matches the Rfam family "Bacterial large subunit ribosomal RNA". The record is from RNAcentral. Lineage: Bacteria; Bacillati; Bacillota; Bacilli; Lactobacillales; Streptococcaceae.
UAAGUUAAUAAGGGCGCACGGUGGAUGCCUUGGCACUAGGAGCCGACGAAGGACGUGACAAACGACGAUAUGCCUUGGGUAGCUGUAAGUAAGCGAUGAUCCAGGGAUUUCCGAAUGGGGGAACCCAACAGGUAAUACCUGUUACCUACAUCUGUUAAGGAUGUGAGGAGGAAGACGCAGUGAACUGAAACAUCUAAGUAGCUGCAGGAAGAGAAAGCAAAAGCGAUUGCCUUAGUAGCGGCGAGCGAAACGGCAGAAGGGCAAACCGAAGAGUUUACUCUUCGGGGUUGUAGGACUGCAAUGUGGACUCAAAGAUUAUAGAAGAAUGAUUUGGGAAGAUCAGCCAAAGAGAGUAAUAGCCUCGUAUUUAAAAUAGUCUUUGUACUUAGCAGUAUCCUGAGUACGGCGGGACACGUGAAAUCCCGUCGGAAUCUGGGAGGACCAUCUCCCAACCCUAAAUACUCCCUAGUGACCGAUAGUGAACCAGUACCGUGAGGGAAAGGUGAAAAGCACCCCGGGAGGGGAGUGAAAUAGAACCUGAAACCGUGUGCCUACAACAAGUUCGAGCCCGUUAAUAGGUGAGAGCGUGCCUUUUGUAGAAUGAACCGGCGAGUUACGUUAUGAUGCGAGGUUAAGUUGAAGAGACGGAGCCGUAGGGAAACCGAGUCUGAAUAGGGCGCCUUAGUAUCAUGACGUAGACCCGAAACAUGUGACCUACCCAUGAGCAGGUUGAAGGUGCGGUAAGACGCACUGGAGGACCGAACCAGGGCUCGUUGAAAAGUGCUUGGAUGACUUGUGGGUAGCGGAGAAAUUCCAAACGAACUUGGAGAUAGCUGGUUCUCUCCGAAAUAGCUUUAGGGCUAGCGUCGACAUUAGAGAUUCUUGGAGGUAGAGCACUGUUUGGGUGAGGGGUCCAUCCCGGAUUACCAAUCUCAGAUAAACUCCGAAUGCCAAUGAAUUAUGGUCGGCAGUCAGACUGCGAGUGCUAAGAUCCGUAGUCGAAAGGGAAACAGCCCAGACCACCAGCUAAGGUCCCAAAAUAAUUGUUAAGUGGAAAAGGAUGUGGGGUUGCACAGACAACUAGGAUGUUAGCUUAGAAGCAGCUAUUCAUUCAAAGAGUGCGUAAUAGCUCACUAGUCGAGUGACCCUGCGCCGAAAAUGUACCGGGGCUAAAACAAUUUACCGAAGCUGUGGAUACCUUUAUAGGUAUGGUAGGAGAGCGUUCUAUGUGUGAUGAAGGUAUACCGUGAGGAUGCUGGAACGCAUAGAAGUGAGAAUGCCGGUAUGAGUAGCGAAAGACAGGUGAGAAUCCUGUCCACCGUAAGACUAAGGUUUCCAGGGGAAGGCUCGUCCGCCCUGGGUUAGUCGGGACCUAAGGAGAGACCGAAAGGUGUAUCCGAUGGACAACAGGUUGAUAUUCCUGUACUAGAGUAUGUAGUGAUGGAGGGACGCAGUAGGCUAACUAAAGCAGACGAUUGGAAGAGUCUGUCUAAGCAGUGAGGUGUGAAUUGAGUCAAAUGCUUAAUUCUAUAACAUUGAGCUGUGAUGGGGAGCGAAGUUUAGUAGCGAAGUUAGUGACGUCACACUGCCAAGAAAAGCUUCUAGCGUUUAAACAUACUCUACCCGUACCGCAAACCGACACAGGUAGUCGAGGCGAGUAGCCUCAGGUGAGCGAGAGAACUCUCGUUAAGGAACUCGGCAAAAUGACCCCGUAACUUCGGGAGAAGGGGUGCUGACUUUAAGUCAGCCGCAGUGAAUAGGCCCAAGCAACUGUUUAUCAAAAACACAGCUCUCUGCUAAAUCGUAAGAUGAUGUAUAGGGGGUGACGCCUGCCCGGUGCUGGAAGGUUAAGAGGAGUGCCUAGCGUAAGCGAAGGUAUGAAUUGAAGCCCCAAGUAAACGGCGGCCGUAACUAUAACGGUCCUAAGGUAGCGAAAUUCCUUGUCGGGUAAGUUCCGACCCGCACGAAAGGCGUAAUGAUUUGGGCACUGUCUCAACGAGAGACUCGGUGAAAUUUUAGUACCUGUGAAGAUGCAGGUUACCCGCGACAGGACGGAAAGACCCCAUGGAGCUUUACUGCAGUUUGAUAUUGAGUGUCUGUACCACAUGUACAGGAUAGGUAGGAGUCUAAGAGAUCGGGACGCCAGUUUCGAAGGAGACGCUGUUGGGAUACUACCCUUGUGUUAUGGCCACUCUAACCCAGAUAGGUGAUCCCUAUCGGAGACAGUGUCUGGACGGGCAGUUUGACUGGGGCGGUCGCCUCCUAAAAGGUAACGGAGGCGCCCAAAAGGUUCCCUCAGAAUGGUUGGAAAUCAUUCGCAGAGUGUAAAGGUAUAAGGGAGCUUGACUGCGAGAGCUACAACUCGAGCAGGGACGAAAGUCGGGCUUAGUGAUCCGGUGGUUCCGUAUGGAAGGGCCAUCGCUCAACGGAUAAAAGCUACCCUGGGGAUAACAGGCUUAUCUCCCCCAAGAGUUCACAUCGACGGGGAGUUUGGCACCUCGAUGUCGGCUCGUCGCAUCCUGGGGCUGUAGUCGGUACCCAAGGCUUGGGCUGUUCGCCCAUUAAAGCGGCACGCGAGCUGGGUUCAGAACGUCGUGAGACAGUUCGGUCCCUAUCCGUCGCGGGCGUAGGAAAUUUGAGAGGAUCUGCUCCUAGUACGAGAGGACCAGAGUGGACUUACCGCUGGUGUACCAGUUGUCUUGCCAAAGGCAUCGCUGGGUAGCUAUGUAGGGAAGGGAUAAACGCUGAAAGCAUCUAAGUGUGAAACCCACCUCAAGAUGAGAUUUCCCAUGAUUAUAUAUCAGUAAGAGCCCUGAGAGAUGAUCAGGUAGAUAGGUUAGAAGUGGAAGUGUGGCGACACAUGUAGCGGACUAAUACUAAUAGCUCGAGGACUUAUCCG